AUUGAACGCUGGCGGAAUGCUUUACACAUGCAAGUCGAACGGCAGCACGGGGGCAGCCCUGGUGGCGAGUGGCGAACGGGUGAGUAAUACAUCGGAACGUGCCCGGUCGUGGGGGAUAACGUAGCGAAAGUUACGCUAAUACCGCAUACGAUCUGAGGAUGAAAGCGGGGGACCUUCGGGCCUCGCGCGAUCGGAGCGGCCGAUGUCAGAUUAGGUAGUUGGUGGGGUAAAGGCCUACCAAGCCGACGAUCUGUAGCUGGUCUGAGAGGACGACCAGCCACCCUAGGACUUGGACACGGGCCAGACUCCUACGGGAGGCAGCAGUGGGGAAUUUUGGACAAUGGGCGCAAGCCUGAUCCAGCCAUUCCGCGUGCAGGACGAAGGCCUUCGGGUUGUAAACUGCUUUUGUACGGAACGAAAAGGCUCUGGCUAAUACCUGGGGCUCAUGACGGUACCGUAAGAAUAAGCACCGGCUAACUACGUG
RNAcentral lists this ribosomal RNA (484 nucleotides) under uncultured bacterium. RNAcentral's name for it is "partial 16S ribosomal RNA". It matches the Rfam family "Bacterial small subunit ribosomal RNA", at positions 30 to 507 of the family's 1533-position model. The record is from RNAcentral.